Molecule: ribosomal RNA, 429 nt
Filed under: bacterium
Lineage: Bacteria
Description: partial 16S ribosomal RNA
Rfam family: Bacterial small subunit ribosomal RNA
Source: RNAcentral
UAGGGAAUCUUCCACAAUGGACGCAAGUCUGAUGGAGCAACGCCGCGUGAGUGAAGAAGGUUUUCGGAUCGUAAAGCUCUGUUGUUGGUGAAGAAGGAUAGAGGCAGUAACUGGUCUUUAUUUGACGGUAAUCAACCAGAAAGUCACGGCUAACUACGUGCCAGCAGCCGCGGUAAUACGUAGGUGGCAAGCGUUGUCCGGAUUUAUUGGGCGUAAAGCGAGCGCAGGCGGAAUGAUAAGUCUGAUGUGAAAGCCCACGGCUCAACCGUGGAACUGCAUCGGAAACUGUCAUUCUUGAGUGCAGAAGAUGAGAGUGGAAUUCCAUGUUUAGCGGUGGAAUGCGUAGAUAUAUGGAAGAACACCAGUGGCGAAGGCGGCUCUCUGGUCUGCAACUGACGCUGAGGCUCGAAAGCAUGGGUAGCGAACAGG